This 388-nucleotide RNase P RNA is filed under the name Candidatus Kirkpatrickella diaphorinae. RNAcentral describes it as "Acetobacteraceae bacterium (ex Diaphorina citri) RNase P RNA component class A". It matches the Rfam family "Bacterial RNase P class A". Rfam says of the family: Ribonuclease P (RNase P) is a ubiquitous endoribonuclease, found in archaea, bacteria and eukarya as well as chloroplasts and mitochondria. Its best characterised activity is the generation of mature 5'-ends of tRNAs by cleaving the 5'-leader elements of precursor-tRNAs. Cellular RNase Ps are ribonucleoproteins. Lineage: Bacteria; Pseudomonadati; Pseudomonadota; Alphaproteobacteria; Acetobacterales; Acetobacteraceae. The record is from RNAcentral.
UCAGAUGGUCAGGCGACCGCUGCACCAGCAUCAAGCUGCGUGUAGAGGAAAGUCCGGGCUCCACGGAAGGACGGUGCCGGCUAACAGCCGGCGAGGGCAACCUCAGGGAAAGUGCCACAGAAAUCAAACCGCUCAACGGGCCUUCGGGCUUUGGGUAAGGAUGAAACGGCGCGGUAAGAGCGCACCGCUCGGGCGGCAACGUCCGGGGCAUGGUAAACCCCACCGGGAGCAAGACCGAAUAGGAGUGACGCGUCACGUCUGACGUGAUGAAGGGCCCCUCCGCCCUGUCACUCGGGUUGGUUGCAUGAGGUGCGAUGUGAGUCGCGCCCAAGAUGAAUGGUCGCCCCGCCUCGGCGGACAGAACCCGGCUUAUCGACCAUCUGACCCA